GCCAGGUGUGGUGGCACAUAUCUGUAGUCGCAGCUACUCAGGAGGCUGAGGCAGGAGGAUUGCUUGAGCCUAGGAGUUCAAGGCUGCAGUGAGCCAUGAUAGCACCACUGCACUCCUGCCUGGGUGAUAAAGCAAGACCCUGUCUCAA
Molecule: unclassified non-coding RNA, 148 nt
Organism: Macaca mulatta (Rhesus monkey)
Lineage: Eukaryota; Metazoa; Chordata; Mammalia; Primates; Cercopithecidae
Rfam family: Metazoan signal recognition particle RNA
About the family: The signal recognition particle (SRP) is a universally conserved ribonucleoprotein. It is involved in the co-translational targeting of proteins to membranes. The eukaryotic SRP consists of a 300-nucleotide 7S RNA and six proteins: SRPs 72, 68, 54, 19, 14, and 9.
Source: Ensembl